UACGUAGGGUGCAAGCGUUGUCCGGAAUUAUUGGGCGUAAAGAGCUUGUAGGCGGUUUGUCGCGUCUGCUGUGAAAAUCCGGGGCUCAACCCCGGACUUGCAGUGGGUACGGGCAGGCUAGAGUGUGGUAGGGGAGACUGGAAUUCCUGGUGUAGCGGUGAAAUGCGCAGAUAUCAGGAGGAACACCGAUGGCGAAGGCAGGUCUCUGGGCCACUACUGACGCUGAGAAGCGAAAGCAUGGGGAGCGAACAGG
This 253-nucleotide ribosomal RNA is filed under the name uncultured bacterium. Its description in RNAcentral is "partial 16S ribosomal RNA". It matches the Rfam family "Bacterial small subunit ribosomal RNA", at positions 524 to 776 of the family's 1533-position model. The record is from RNAcentral.